UUAAAUUAGGGGGAAAAUCUCUCCUUCCCCCUGCCAGUGAGGUGUGUGAGGGCAAAACCGUCAAAUUUAUCACUAAAGGAUGUAUCAUUGAGCCCGAUUAAGUACUGAAAUAACACAUUCUAUUUUCUUUUCUCACAGGGGAAUAAUUGAGGCAAUUCCUGAUGAAUGAAGACAUGAAGCAAAAUGAAAUUGAUUCAACACAAGAAGGGUGUAUCGUUCCUAAAUUAGUCCAAUUCAAGUUUGAAAUGCAAGUAACAUGUCCCAUCUCUUGUAGGACAAGGCGCACAUCAACCGCGGGAGCGACGCCUUCUACCAAGUUGGCAUGCUAAGGCCCAACCAUCCAUUUUGUUGUAAAGGAUUUAUAUCGUUCGUAAAAUGAUUUCUAGUCAAGUGUGAAAAUAACAUGCCCAGUCUUCUAAAUGUCUCUUUGAGCAGAGCAUUUGAAAAGAGCAAGAAUUGAACUUUGUGGAUUAUCAUAUGCAGUAAAGAAAUGUUUUUCAUAAAUAAAAUCAAGGCAUAGAGGCAUUUUUCAAGCAAUCCUGUCACUUUAGGUGAUUUAUGUCAUGCAUAUCAUGCAUAUAUCCUUCAUAAUAUUUUCCUAACAUGUGUCGUCGUCAUUCUUGAUAGGAAAUGUCAAUACCCGAAAAACAAAAACACGUGAAGGGUAAAUUGUAUCGAUUCUAAUUGCUGAUUUUGAUACUGUUUCUAACGCGAUUCUCUUUUCCUUUGAUUUGGAUUACAUCAAACACUUGUAAGAGGUGUGGUACCAUUCUGAUUAGUGNNNNN
This 786-nucleotide long non-coding RNA is filed under the name Eucalyptus grandis. Its description in RNAcentral is "long non-coding RNA (EGRA_LNC000034)". The record is from RNAcentral. Lineage: Eukaryota; Viridiplantae; Streptophyta; Magnoliopsida; Myrtales; Myrtaceae.